AGAGUUUGAUCAUGGCUCAGGAUGAACGCUAGCUACAGGCUUAACACAUGCAAGUCGAGGGGCAGCAUGGUCUUAGCUUGCUAAGGUCCGAUGGCGACCGGCGCACGGGUGAGUAACACGUAUCCAACCUGCCGUCUACUCUUGGGACAGCCUUCUAGAAAGGAAGAUUAAUACAAGAUGGCAUCAUGAGUUCACAUGUUCACAUGAUUAAAGGUUUCCGGUAGACGAUGGGGAUGCGUUCCAUUAGAUAGUAGGCGGGGUAACGGCCCACCUAGUCUUCGAUGGAUAGGGGUUCUGAGAGGAAGGUCCCCCACAUUGGAACUGAGACACGGUCCAAACUCCUACGGGAGGCAGCA
RNAcentral lists this ribosomal RNA (356 nucleotides) under uncultured bacterium. RNAcentral's name for it is "bacterial SSU rRNA". It matches the Rfam family "Bacterial small subunit ribosomal RNA", at positions 8 to 353 of the family's 1533-position model. The record is from RNAcentral.